Molecule: ribosomal RNA, 440 nt
Filed under: Streptococcus sp. oral taxon 064
Lineage: Bacteria; Bacillati; Bacillota; Bacilli; Lactobacillales; Streptococcaceae
Description: bacterial SSU rRNA
Rfam family: Bacterial small subunit ribosomal RNA
Source: RNAcentral
GGCGGCGUGCCUAAUACAUGCAAGUAGAACGCUGAAGAGAGGAGCUUGCUCUUCUUGGAUGAGUUGCGAACGGGUGAGUAACGCGUAGGUAACCUGCCUGGUAGCGGGGGAUAACUAUUGGAAACGAUAGCUAAUACCGCAUAAUAGUAGAUGUUGCAUGACAUUUGCUUAAAAGGUGCAAUUGCAUCACUACCAGAUGGACCUGCGUUGUAUUAGCUAGUUGGUGAGGUAACGGCUCACCAAGGCAACGAUACAUAGCCGACCUGAGAGGGUGAUCGGCCACACUGGGACUGAGACACGGCCCAGACUCCUACGGGAGGCAGCAGUAGGGAAUCUUCGGCAAUGGACGGAAGUCUGACCGAGCAACGCCGCGUGAGUGAAGAAGGUUUUCGGAUCGUAAAGCUCUGUUGUAAGAGAAGAACGAGUGUGAGAAGUGGAAA